This 408-nucleotide ribosomal RNA is filed under the name uncultured fungus. RNAcentral's name for it is "eukaryotic LSU rRNA". It matches the Rfam family "Eukaryotic large subunit ribosomal RNA", at positions 1 to 400 of the family's 3401-position model. The record is from RNAcentral. Lineage: Eukaryota; Fungi.
GUGGCCUCAAAUCAGGUAGGACUACCCGCUGAACUUAAGCAUAUCAAUAAGCGGAGGAAAAGAAACUAACAAGGAUUCCCCUAGUAACUGCGAGUGAAGCGGGAAAAGCUCAAAUUUAAAAUCUGUCAGUCCUUUGAUUGUCCGAGUUGUAAUCUAGAGAAGUGUUAUCUGCACUGGACCGUGUACAAGUCUUCUGGAAUGGAGCGUCAUAGAGGGUGAGAAUCCCGUCUCUGACACGGACUGCCAGCGCUUUGUGAUAUACUCUCAAAGAGUCGAGUUGUUUGGGAAUGCAGCUCAAAAUGGGUGGUAAAUUCCAUCUAAAGCUAAAUAUUGGCAAGAGACCGAUAGUGAACAAGUACCGUGAGGGAAAGAUGAAAAGAACUUUGGAAAGAGAGUUAAAUAGUACGU